UGAGUUUGAUCUUGGCUCAGAUAGAACGGUAGAAGCAGGUCUUACACAUGCGAGUUGGUUUGCCUUAGCAAAAAGCAUACGGGUGAGGAAAAUUAUUACGCUACCUCUGCAAAGUGUUUACUGCAUUGACGAUUGGCUUCGUGCAGAGAUGCUACUUAAUAAGAUUAGUCGGAAAAAUAAUAAUUAUUUUUACUUUACCGUCAAUGAUCUUUAGUUGGUUUGAAAGAACGAACAACCACAAUAGAACUGAGAGAAGGUCUAUACUUAUUAGAGGCUGCAGUGAAGAAUCUUGAACAAUGGGCGUAAGCCUGAUUCAGCCAUGCUGCGUGAGUGAAUGAAGGUUUACUGUAAAGCUCUUUUUUUGGAGAGCAUAAUGAGAGUAUCCAAAGAAUCAACAGCGUCCAACUCUGUGCCAGCAGACGCGGUAAUACAGAGGCUGUAACUUUUAUCUUAAGGACUCGGCGUAAAGGACUUGUAGGCGGACUUUAAUAGUGUAAUUUGAAAGACCGUUUUUUAAGAAUGUGUUAAUUAUAUAGAAGUACUAGAGUUUUUGUAAUGUUAGUAGUAUUUUACGAGGAGAGAUAAAAUGUGUAGAUUCGUUAAGGAAUACCAAUAGUGAAGGCAGCUAACAGAUUAACAACUGACGCUAAGGAGUGGAAGCUAAAGGAGCGAUGCGGAUUAGGUACCCGGUGUAGUUUUAGCCGUCAACGAUGCGGGUUAAUAUGGUAUAUUCAUAUACAGCUAACGCGUUAAACCCGCCGCCAGAGGAGUACGGUGGCAACAUUAAAACUCAAAAGAAUUGACUGUAUCCUACAAAAGUAGAGGGGCACGUUGCUUAAUUCGAUAACCCGCGCAAAACCUUACCAAUUUUUGAAUACUUUUUAAAUACGUUUUUAAUUGUACAGGUGGAGCAUGGCUGCCUUCAGUUCGUGCCUUGGGGUGUCCUAUUAAGUUAGGAAACGAACGAAACCUUUGUUGUGUGUUGCUAAAUCAUACUCUAUUCUUUUAAAGAUAGGAUUCAGAUAGCACUCACACGAGAACGAUGAUUGAUCCUUUCACGGGAUAAAUCGGAAUGAAAUUAGGAGAUAAAGCCAAGUCUUCACGCCCCUUAUAAAUUGGGCUGCUAAUAUGCCAUAAAGGCGUAACAAACAGUGAUAGUUUUUUUCUAUUAACCUGCAAAUAACGUCUUAGUACGGAUUGAAUCCUGCAACUCGGAUUCAUAAAGUUAGAUUUGCUAGUAAUCGUAUAUCAGCAUCGGUACGGUGAAUUAUUACCCAGGAUUAGUACAUACCGCCCGUCACGCUUAGAGAGUUUGCUUGAUUCGAUAUACAAAAUAAGUAGAAUUAUUUCGUAAAGUUUUUAUUAAUAAUGAUUUUGCUGAUGUUGUACAAGUAGAAAUUGGAUGAUUUAAGCGAAGUCGAAACAAGGUCAUUGUAGGGGUAUCUGUAGUGG
RNAcentral lists this non-coding RNA (1452 nucleotides) under metagenome. RNAcentral describes it as "bacterial SSU rRNA". It matches the Rfam family "Bacterial small subunit ribosomal RNA". The record is from RNAcentral.